GCUAGUUGUGCGGGUUUAGACCCGCAGCGGAAAGCUCAGUAACACGUGGCCAAACUACCCUGUGGAUGGGAACAAUCUCGGGAAACUGAGGCUAAUUCCCAAUAACGCUCCACCCCUGGAACGGGCGGAGCUGGAAACGCUACGGCGCCACAGGAUGUGGCUGCGGUCGAUUAGGUAGACGGUGGGGUAACGGCCCACCGUGCCAAUAAUCGGUACGGGUUGUGAGAGCAAGAGCCCGGAGACGGAAUCUGAGACAAGAUUCCGGGCCCUACGGGGCGCAGCAGGCGCGAAACCUUUACACUGUACGCAAGUGCGAUAAGGGGACUCCGAGUGUGAAGGCAUAGAGCCUUCACUUUUGUACACCGUAAGGUGGUGUACGAAUAAGGGCUGGGCAAGACCGGUGCCAGCCGCCGCGGUAAUACCGGCAGCCCGAGUGAUGGCCGAUAUUAUUGGGCCUAAAGCGUCCGUAGCUGGCCGGACAAGUCCGUUGGGAAAUCUGUUCGCUUAACGAGCAGGCGUCCAGCGGAAACUGUUCGGCUUGGGACCGGAAGACCUGAGGGGUACGUCCGGGGUAGGAGUGAAAUCCUGUAAUCCUGGACGGACCACCGGUGGCGAAAGCGCCUCAGGAGGACGGAUCCGACAGUGAGGGACGAAAGCUAGGGUCUCGAACCGGAUUAGAUACCCGGGUAGUCCUAGCUGUAAACGAUGCCCGCUAGGUGGGUGGCGCAGGCUACGAGCCUGCGCUGUGCCGUAGGGAAGCCGAGAAGCGGGCCGCCUGGGAAGUACGUCUGCAAGGAUGAAACUUAAAGGAAUUGGCGGGGGAGCACUACAACCGGAGGAGCCUGCCGUUUAAUUGGACUCAACGCCGGACAUCUCACCAGCUCCGACAGUAAUAAUG
This 898-nucleotide ribosomal RNA is filed under the name Halobacterium sp. RNAcentral's name for it is "bacterial SSU rRNA". It matches the Rfam family "Archaeal small subunit ribosomal RNA", at positions 53 to 949 of the family's 1478-position model. Lineage: Archaea; Methanobacteriati; Methanobacteriota; Halobacteria; Halobacteriales; Halobacteriaceae. The record is from RNAcentral.